RNAcentral lists this long non-coding RNA (2423 nucleotides) under Sus scrofa (pig). RNAcentral describes it as "lncRNA (ENSSSCG00005010290.1)". The record is from RNAcentral. Lineage: Eukaryota; Metazoa; Chordata; Mammalia; Artiodactyla; Suidae.
AGUCAAGGCACCUGUCUCAUUUCCAACACCUGUCCUGUAAUUAACUUGCAGUGUGAUAUUUGGGGGAAAUAAUGUGAAGCUGGACAUGAAUUCAUAGUUUGUAGAUGAAGAAUCACACUGCGCCUCCUCCCCCGACCCGCCGCCGAAAUACCCCAUCACAUGUACCAAGAGAAAUGAAGUAAUAAAUAAGAGGUAGGCUUUUGGACACAAAACACUGCACAUCAUUUUAAUGUGUAACAUCAAACUGGUUCCCCUUUAAGGUUUUUGGCAACUCUCAAGAUUCUAAAACUUCUCGCCCAGUUCAGGCUGUGAUAGUUUUGCCUCAAGGACACGCAGAAUGGUCAGUAUGACUGCCUUUGGUUUGAAGACAGUCUCGUAAUCACUAUUCCUCAAUUCAGCUUGUUGGAAAAAAUUAUUUUUACCAAAUGUACAGCUAGGCAUCACAGGAGGUUUUUUUGUUUUGUUUUCUUUGCUUUUUAGGAGGUUCCCAGGCUUUUCUAGAAAUCCCAGGAGUGUAUAUCCCUGUAUGCAAUGUAGCAGCCAAAGGGGAAUGCUUGCCAGAGGCUUCUUAGGUUGCACAGACCUCAAGUUCAGAUCUUGCCAUGCUUUUGUUUGGCCAAAGAAUAAUCCCAGCAGGUGAAUUUUAGAGUUCAGAAUGCGAGAAAUACAAAAACUGGUAAGCAGACUCAACAGACUCAAAUUACAUCUUCAGGAUACAACACACAUCACUGCUUCAUGUCUACCUAUCUGAAUCCAACUUGUUGCCCAGCACAGGGCAAAUCAAAGCAAAAGAAACAGUUCUCAAACCUACAUCCGUCAGAUCCCCUGCAAACCAGCCAAAUGUCAUCUUUUAUAUGCCAUUCCGCCCAGCAGUGCACAGGCCUGAGAAAACUCACUUCUGCAAACAGUUAAAUAAGCCCCUUAACAAAUUCAAAUCAGCAACUUAAUUCUAGAAGGUGUAUUUUUAAAACACACAUAUACAGUGUUUAAAAUGAAGGAAAAGAGUUAGUGUUGUUAGGAAAUAUGACGACUGAUUAUAUAUUUUAAAUCAUUCAUUUAAACAGAAUUACAUCAACGUAGCUGAAAAGGGAGCAAAAAAUGCUAGAUCAUCAUUUCCUUUUUACUUCUCCUAUUUGACAAAAAAAAAAAAAAAACAGAAAAUAAUGGCAAAAAGGCAAUCUUUCUUAUUAUUCUACUCAAUGGCUAAUAAAUAAUUAUUCUCCCAUACAGAAAACCAGAAAUAAACAAGUCAGAAAUACUGAGAAAAGUAGUGUUUUGUUUGUUUGUUUUUUAGGAUGCUGUUUACUAUUUCUCAAGGGUUGGGUGGGAAGGGCCAGGUGGGGAAAGAGAGGGAAAAGAAAAUCAUUCAUUUUAUGUAUUUGGUAUUUAAUUUCCUUUCUGGAUUGAACUGAGAUCUGAUCUCAUGAAUCUAAAUGCUGCCACAUGGCCCAGUUCCUAAUGAUUGGUCUAUUACACUAUAGUUGGAUUUAUUUAAACAAUUAAAUGGCUUGUACAAAACAGAAGGCAUACCUGCCUCCCAGUAGAUCAAAUGCACAAAUUCCCUUAGGGGAUGAAUAUAGGACAGGAAUACAAAGAAGUGUGCCUAACAAUGGUAAAAAUGUCAGGAAACAGAAAAUGUCAAAUCCCCAGGGGAAAAACGAACUCCAGCUUUGGCUGGAGCACAGGCACCACUUUUUUGUGUGAUGAAUUUGUAGUCCACAUCUCCCCUGCGGGAAAACAACUGCUUCGACUAAUCAAAGGGUAGUGUUUGGUGGAUUUUCUUUUUUCAAAGUUCAAAACAAAAGCAAUAGCAUCAACAUAGCUUUCAUGUCAUUGUUGGCAGGAAAUUUAACUCUUCUCAGGAUAACUUUUCUUUGGGGGGUGGGGGGGAGAAACCGAACCAGAAAUGAGAGUUGCACAUUUCUGAGUUCCUCUUUCUGAUUCCAAUUUCCUGCCUGGUAGGCUGGAAGCUACAGAAAUCUGGAGGACAAAUGUAACUGUUAAUUAUAUAUUCAAGACAUCAUCCGAUUUUGCUGAUGGGUUCCAACAAUGAUGCUGACGCUUGGGAAUUCCACUGAAUAUUUGCUCAGGCUGACACGCAAACACCUUGUAAAAAACAAAUGAUUUGAAUAAAGUUCGUUAUGGACUCCCCACCUGUCCAGUCCAUUUCAGUAUCAGCAUGAGCACUGGCGUUUCACUUAGUUCUGAGUUUAGGCAGUUUCCCCUCAGAGGUCCAGUUUUCAUUAUGAAACCCAAAGGUACCGCCAUCCUCAUUCAAAGGCUCCAAAAAAGCCAUACAUGCCUGAUGGAGGCCAGGAGUCUUUAUUCUGGUUUUGAUUUUGCAAUCUUAAGUGUCUGGCCUAAUAAAAAUUACAUGAAACAAGUAUUAAAUAUUUAACUUUCAUGGAAUAUUAUCAAUCUCC